This 1169-nucleotide long non-coding RNA is filed under the name Fukomys damarensis (Damara mole-rat). RNAcentral describes it as "lncRNA (ENSFDAG00000029441.1)". Lineage: Eukaryota; Metazoa; Chordata; Mammalia; Rodentia; Bathyergidae. The record is from RNAcentral.
GGAUGGAGCUUGAGGGGUGACUUCUAUAUUUAUUAUUUCCUUAUUGCAAAAUUAUAGCAACUAAAAUAUUUUAUUAUUGUAAUCUUUUCAUAAAAAUAACAGCGUUAAAGAAAGGAGUAGCUGGGCUGUGUAGCACUGUUGAAUGGACGGGGAGGCUUGGAAGAAAAUCACACACUGGGAUCCUCCAGAGCCUGCGGGAAGCCUGCAGCACAGGGUCAGACAGUGUCCCCUGGGGUGGCCCUCUCCCAAGCCCUGGGCAAGUUGCUGUGUCCCUCUUUUCUAGGCGUGUAGCAAGAUGCAGUUCCAGCUCUCCUGGGGACAGGACAGGAGUCACAGCUGAUGCUUCCUGGCUUCCAGUGCUGUGAGGGGAGGGCACCCUGGCAGCUCAACAGGGCAGAAGCUUUGCAGCAGUGUCACCCUUCAGCGCCGCGCUGAUGGGUGCAGACUCCUCAGUUCCUGUGUGGUCUGCCCUGCCCGGUGAGUUCAGGUUCUCUUCCCCUGGGGAGAGGCAGGAGUCUCCUUCUGCUAACAGAGGCCCCUACAGCUUCUGGCGCAGCCCCAGGAUGGCCAGGAGUCAGCUGUGCCUCAGAGAUGGCACAAGACCUGCCGGUGUCUUGAUGUCAUCCCAGUGACCCAGCUGUCACCGAGGAUCCUGCAGAUUCCCACAUGGCAAGAGGUGAGCAAGGGAGAGACCGGUGAGGGGCAGGCUCUGUGAUAAGACACAUCCAUUUCCAGGCCUCAUCGGAUGCAGACAACCACUCCUGAGCCAGGAAUGGUAGCAGUCAGCAUGGUGAGAUCUCUGGACUCCUGUGAUCCUCCCUCCUGGCCACGAGUCAAACCACAGCCAGCCAGGAUCAGGGGUCAGAUUGGAGGGAGACAACAGUGUGAAGACAGGAUCCACCUGGACACGGCACAGCAACAGGGAUGUGAUGACUCUCAGGUGUCACGGACUCGGCAGGCAAACGGGCAUCUGGGUAAGGGAGACGCCAGAGGGCACCUGGAAAGGUGGGCAGGGACCAAGGAGGGAUGCUGGGCCAUGCCCUAUUUGAAGAGGCACCUGCUAUUUAGCAACAGCUGUAAAAUAUCUGGCAGGAUUGGCACCAAGGAUGUCAGGUCUUCUGAUUCAUCUAGAGAAGCCAGAAAUCAGGGUGUGUUUCUAUGGGUGUGGG